UAUCCGUAGGUGAACCUGCGGAAGGAUCAUUAUUGUAUAACCGAGGUGCGAGGGCUGUCGCUGACCCGAAAGGUCGUGCACGCCCGAGUGCCCUCACACACAUCCAUCUCACCCCGAUGUGCACCACCGCGUGGGUUCCCCUUUGGCUUGUUCGGAGGGGGGCUUACGUUUUCACACAAACUUUGUAUGCAGUGUAGAAUGUAUUUUUUGUUUUUGCGAUCACGCAAUCAAUACAACUUUCAACAACGGAUCUCUUGGCUCUC
This 263-nucleotide unclassified non-coding RNA is filed under the name plant metagenome. RNAcentral describes it as "partial contains small subunit ribosomal RNA, internal transcribed spacer 1, and 5.8S ribosomal RNA". The record is from RNAcentral.